AGGACGACAAAGAAGUGCGAUCGGCGCGUUCUCGUCAUCGAAUUCGCUCACGAAACCAUAGAUCAGCCGGGUAGAAAUUUCGAGCCACGGAGAGAACUACGACGAGAUUUGUCAGCGGGUCGACGGACUUCUACAGCAUGCCACCCAGCGACGUUCGCUCCAUUACUGAACCCCGGGAAAGCCACCAGACCAGCGGCCUGUCCAGUCUCGUCCGAGCGCGCAGCUCCCAUCGCUGUGGAGCCACGGACUUCAGCAGGGUCAGCAAGGUCAAUUUCAGGCGUUCAAGAGCAAAGGCCCUCCCCCUCGUCAUGCGGUUCACGUUCGCGCGUACUGUUCACCUGGGCAACUCUUCCACGAACGCUGCCUUGGACACCACACACGUUACCACAGGGGGACACACGUGGCAGAACACGACAGCAGUCAGCGUGACUGUCCACAACGAAGGCUGCCGUGGAACUACAUUCCCCAAGGUCUCUGUCCACCGAGAAGGGGGCAUCACAGACGAGUUGAGCCCCACCGGAGUGAACGUUCGCUCGGACGAUUCAAGUGGACUAUGUGGGCAUGGGCUCUGAUCGUCACCAAAAUUUUCGUAUAUUUGGUUGCUUUUUUUGUUUAAAACAUAUUCGCUUGUAGUUUUAUGAACUGAUUCACAGACCUGUUUCUGUCGCAGGUCUUGAAUCAGUUUCUGUCGUAGGUCUUGCAAUAAAUAUUAGAUUCGUCGAA
Molecule: long non-coding RNA, 723 nt
Organism: Dermacentor albipictus
Lineage: Eukaryota; Metazoa; Arthropoda; Arachnida; Ixodida; Ixodidae
Source: RefSeq, a predicted model, not a curated record